This 443-nucleotide ribosomal RNA is filed under the name uncultured bacterium. RNAcentral's name for it is "partial 16S ribosomal RNA". It matches the Rfam family "Bacterial small subunit ribosomal RNA", at positions 338 to 795 of the family's 1533-position model. The record is from RNAcentral.
CCUACGGGUGGCAGCAGUGGGGAAUAUUGGGCAAUGGGCGCAAGCCUGACCCAGCAAUGCCGCGUGAAGGAAGAAGGCUCUCGGGUUGUAAACCUCUUUUAUCAGGGACGAGGCAAGUGACGGUACCUGAUAAAGAAGCCACAGCUAACUAAGUAACCACAGCCGCGGUAAUACGUAGGGGGCACGCGUGAACCGGAUUUACUGGGUGUAGAGAUCGUGAAGUCGGGUAUGCACGUUAGAUGUGAAAACCAUGGGCUCAAGCUGUGACCGGCAUUGGAGACUGGGUGUAUUGAGUACGGUAGAGGCAGACGGAAUUCCUAGUGUAGCGGUGAAAUGCGUAGAUAUUAGGAGGAACACCAGUGGCGAAGGCGGUCUGCUGGACAGCAACUGACGCUGAUGCGCGAAAGCGUGGGGAGCAAACAGGAUUAGAUACCCGUGUAGUC